GACGAACGCUGGCGGCGUGCUUAACACAUGCAAGUCGAACGGUAAGGCCCUUCGGGGUACACGAGUGGCGAACGGGUGAGCAACACGUGGGUGAUCUGCCCUGCACUUCGGGAUAAGCCUGGGAAACUGGGUCUAAUACCGGAUAGGACUCCGGACUGCAUGGUCUGGGGUGGAAAGCUUUUGCGGUGUGGGAUGGGCCCGCGGCCUAUCAGCUUGUUGGGGGGGUGAUGGCCUACCAAGGCGACGACGGGUAGCCGGCCUGAGAGGGUGACCGGCCACACUGGGACUGAGAUACGGCCCAGACUCCUACGGGAGGCAGCAGUGGGGAAUAUUGCACAAGGGGCGCAAGCCUGAUGCAGCGACGCCGCGUGAGGGAUGACGGCCUUCGGGUUGUAAACCUCUUUCAGCAUCGACGAAGCGAAAGUGACGGUAGGUGCAGAAGAAGGACCGGCCAACUACGUGCCAGCCGCCGCCGUAA
This 478-nucleotide ribosomal RNA is filed under the name uncultured bacterium. RNAcentral describes it as "partial 16S ribosomal RNA". It matches the Rfam family "Bacterial small subunit ribosomal RNA", at positions 28 to 523 of the family's 1533-position model. The record is from RNAcentral.